RNAcentral lists this microRNA precursor (80 nucleotides) under Ovis aries (sheep). Its description in RNAcentral is "miRNA (ENSOARG00000022131.1)". The record is from RNAcentral. Lineage: Eukaryota; Metazoa; Chordata; Mammalia; Artiodactyla; Bovidae.
UGGGCUGGCCAAAAAGUUCGUUUGGGUUUUUCAGUAAGAUGCAACAGAAAAAUCUGAAUGAACUUUUUGGCCAACACAAU